UUGUUGCGGUUAAAACGCUCGUAGUUGGGUUUCUGUCGGGAACAGCUUGUCUGCCCAAGUGGCGAGAACUUGUUCUGUUCCUGGCAUCUUCUUGGGGAACAAGUGCGCACUUCAUUGUGUGGCUCGGAAACCAGGACGUUUACUUUGAGGAAAUGAGAGUGCUUCAAGCGGGUGUCCGCCACGAAUACGUUAGCAUGGAAUAAUAGCAUUGGACCUCGGAUCAUAGCUGUUGGUUGCUAGAACCGGGGUGAGGGUAAACAGGGACAGUUGGGGGCAUUCGUAUUUAACUGUCAGAGGUGAAAUUCUUGGACUUGUUAAAGACGGACUACUGCGAAAGCAUUUGCCAAGGAUGUUUUCAUUGAUCAAGAACGAAAGUUAGGGGAUCGAAGACGAUCAGAUACCGUCCUAGUCUUAACCAUAAACUAUGCCGACUAGAGAUUGGAGGCUGUUGCUAUUCCGACGC
RNAcentral lists this ribosomal RNA (463 nucleotides) under uncultured marine eukaryote. Its description in RNAcentral is "SSU rRNA". It matches the Rfam family "Eukaryotic small subunit ribosomal RNA", at positions 610 to 1077 of the family's 1831-position model. The record is from RNAcentral.